RNAcentral lists this ribosomal RNA (1867 nucleotides) under Clostridioides difficile DA00244. RNAcentral describes it as "bacterial LSU rRNA". It matches the Rfam family "Bacterial large subunit ribosomal RNA", at positions 1038 to 2925 of the family's 2925-position model. Lineage: Bacteria; Bacillati; Bacillota; Clostridia; Peptostreptococcales; Peptostreptococcaceae. The record is from RNAcentral.
GCUAAGGUCCCUAAAUGUAAGUUAAGUGGUAAAGGAUGUGGGAUUGCACAGACAACCAGGAUGUUGGCUUAGAAGCAGCCACUCAUUCAAAGAGUGCGUAAUAGCUCACUGGUCGAGUGAUCCUGCGCCGAAGAUUUCCGGGGCUAAAACUUACUACCGAAGCUACGGCAUCAGUAAUGAUGGGUAGGGGAGCUUCCCAUACGGGUUGAAGCAUGACCGUAAGGACAUGUGGACAGUAUGGGAGUGAGAAUGUUGGCAUGAGUAGCGAGAUGUGGGUGAGAAUCCCACAGGCCGUAAACCCAAGGUUUCCAGGGGAAGGUUCGUCCGCCCUGGGUUAGUCGGGACCUAAGCUGAGGCCGAAAGGCGUAGGUGAUGGACAACAGGUUGAUAUUCCUGUACUACCGAUAACCGUUUGAGAGAAGGGAUGACACAGUAGGAUAAGCUAAGCACACUGUUGGUUAUGUGUGCCCAAGCAUUGAGGCAGUCAAAGUAGGCAAAUCCGCUUUGAUAAUGCUGGGAUGUGAUGGGGAGCGAAAUUUAGUAGCGAAGUAGCUGAUUUCACACUGUCAAGAAAAGUCUCUAUCGAGGUUAAAGGUACCCGUACCGCAAACCGACACAGGUGGGUGAGGAGAGUAUCCUAAGGCCAGCGAGAGAACUGUUGUUAAGGAACUCGGCAAAAUGACCCCGUAACUUAGGGAUAAGGGGUGCCACCAUCAGGUGGCCGCAGAGAAUAGGCCCAAGCGACUGUUUACCAAAAACAUAGGUUUCUGCUAAGUCGCAAGACGAUGUAUAGGAGCUGACGCCUGCCCGGUGCUGGAAGGUUAAGGGGAUCUGUUAGAGCAAUCGAAGCAGUGAACUUAAGCCCCAGUAAACGGCGGCCGUAACUAUAACGGUCCUAAGGUAGCGAAAUUCCUUGUCGGGUAAGUUCCGACCCGCACGAAAGGCGUAACGAUUUGGGCACUGUCUCAACAACAGACUCGGUGAAAUUGUAAUUCCGGUGAAGAUGCCGGAUACCUGCGACAGGACGGAAAGACCCCAUGGAGCUUUACUGUAGCUUGACAUUGGGUCUUGGUACUACAUGUACAGGAUAGGUGGGAGGCUUUGAAACCAGGACGCCAGUUUUGGCGGAGCCAUCCUUGGGAUACCACCCUUGUAGUACUGGGACUCUAACCAUAGGCCAUGAAUCUGGUCUUGGGACACUGUCAGGUGGGCAGUUUGACUGGGGCGGUCGCCUCCCAAAAGGUAACGGAGGCGCUCAAAGGUUCUCUCAGUACGGUCGGAAAUCGUACGUAGAGUGUAAAGGCAAAAGAGAGCUUGAUUGCAAGACAUACAGGUCGAGCAAGGAUGAAAAUCGGACUUAGUGAUCCGGUGGUUCUGCGUGGAAGGGCCAUCGCUCAACGGAUAAAAGCUACCCUGGGGAUAACAGGCUUAUCUCCCCCAAGAGUCCACAUCGACGGGGAGGUUUGGCACCUCGAUGUCGGCUCAUCACAUCCUGGGGCUGUAGUAGGUCCCAAGGGUUGGGCUGUUCGCCCAUUAAAGUGGUACGCGAGCUGGGUUCAGAACGUCGUGAGACAGUUCGGUCCCUAUCCGUCGCAGGCGUAGGAAAUUUGAGAAGACCUGUCCUUAGUACGAGAGGACCGGGAUGGACGUACCUCUGGUGUACCAGUUGUCCUGCCAAGGGCAUGGCUGGGUAGCUAUGUACGGAAUGGAUAAGCGCUGAAAGCAUCUAAGCGCGAAGUCAACUUCAAGAUAAGAUUUCCCACCGCAAGGGUAAGACCCCAGAAAGACUAUCUGGUUGAUAGGUCGAAGGUGUAAGUGCAGCAAUGUAUUUAGCUUAUCGAUACUAAUAGGUCGAGGACUUGACCAA